GGCCGCAUGGUGUAGUUGGUCAUCACGUCAGUCUAACACACUGAAGGUCGCCAGAUCGAGCCUGGCUGUGGUCA
Molecule: transfer RNA, 74 nt
Filed under: Schizothecium vesticola
Lineage: Eukaryota; Fungi; Ascomycota; Sordariomycetes; Sordariales; Schizotheciaceae
Description: tRNA-Val
Source: RNAcentral